RNAcentral lists this unclassified non-coding RNA (246 nucleotides) under Hevea brasiliensis (rubber tree). The record is from RNAcentral. Lineage: Eukaryota; Viridiplantae; Streptophyta; Magnoliopsida; Malpighiales; Euphorbiaceae.
ACACUCGGGACAAUUUGAGUUGCCCUGCUACCACUGCAUAUGUUGUUGGUGCUGUAGUUGGUGGUAUAUUUGGAGGUGUUGCAUUUGUCUAUACCUCAGCUGAUCAUCCGCCUAAAAGAUUCUUGUUUCCAUGGCUCUUGGGAGGCUUCUUUAUGAGUAUUAUUUGGUUCUAUAUCGUGGCAAAUGAACUAGUGGCUCUGCUAGUGGCAUUUGGUGUUAUCUUUGGUGUCAAUCCAUCAAUUCUAG